UUUAUUGGAGAGUUUGAUCCUGGCUCAGGAUGAACGCUGGCGGCGUGCCUAAUACAUGCAAGUCGAGCGAAUGGAUUAAGAGCUUGCUCUUAUGAAGUUAGCGGCGGACGGGUGAGUAACACGUGGGUAACCUGCCCAUAAGACUGGGAUAACUCCGGGAAACCGGGGCUAAUACCGGAUAACAUUUUGAACCGCAUGGUU
This 201-nucleotide ribosomal RNA is filed under the name Bacillus cereus. Its description in RNAcentral is "partial 16S ribosomal RNA". It matches the Rfam family "Bacterial small subunit ribosomal RNA", at positions 1 to 195 of the family's 1533-position model. Lineage: Bacteria; Bacillati; Bacillota; Bacilli; Caryophanales; Bacillaceae. The record is from RNAcentral.